UCAUCAGAUGGGAUAAUUUUUACCUGUUCCUCCUUUUGGAGGUUAGAUUCUAAUACGAUGAUUGGAGUUCGUAUGGUACGUGAUUAAUGUCUGCAUAAUCAGGACUUGUAACACCUUGAUUGCUUCUGAG
This is a small nucleolar RNA of Pongo abelii (Sumatran orangutan), 130 nucleotides long. Its record names the gene U8. It matches the Rfam family "U8 small nucleolar RNA". From Rfam's summary of the family: U8 is a member of the C/D class of snoRNA which contain the C (UGAUGA) and D (CUGA) box motifs. U8 is the RNA component of a small complex (the U8 snoRNP) which is required for accumulation of mature large subunit ribosomal RNAs, 5.8S and 28S rRNAs. The record is from Ensembl. Lineage: Eukaryota; Metazoa; Chordata; Mammalia; Primates; Hominidae.